This 492-nucleotide ribosomal RNA is filed under the name uncultured bacterium. RNAcentral describes it as "partial 16S ribosomal RNA". It matches the Rfam family "Bacterial small subunit ribosomal RNA", at positions 29 to 507 of the family's 1533-position model. The record is from RNAcentral.
AGUGAACGCUGGCGGUAGGCCUAACACAUGCAAGUCGAACGGCAGCACAGUAAGAGCUUGCUCUUACGGGUGGCGAGUGGCGGACGGGUGAGGAAUACAUCGGCAUCUACUUUUUCGUGGGGGAUCACGUAGGGAAACUUACGCUAAUACCGCAUACGACCUACGGGUGAAAGCAGGGGAUCUUCGGACCUUGCGCGAUUGAAUGAGCCGAUGUCGCAUUAGCUAGUUGGCGGGGUAAAGGCCAACCAAGGCGACGAUCCGUAGCUGGUCUGAGAGGAUGAUCACCCACCCUGGAACUGGGACACGGUCCAGACUCCUACGGGAGGCAGCAGUGGGGAAUAUUGGACAAGGGGCGCAAGCCUGAUCCAGCCAGACCGCGUGGGUGAAGAAGGCCUUCGGGUUGUAAAGCCCUUUUGUUGGGAAAGAAAAGCAGCAGGUUAAUACCCCGCUGUUCUGACGGUACCCAAAGAAUAAGCACCGGCUAACUUCGUG